CUAGCACGACUUAGUUCCAUCCC
RNAcentral lists this non-coding RNA (23 nucleotides) under Arabidopsis thaliana (thale cress). Lineage: Eukaryota; Viridiplantae; Streptophyta; Magnoliopsida; Brassicales; Brassicaceae. The record is from RNAcentral.